UACGGGGGGGGCAAGCGUUGUUCGGAAUUACUGGGCGUAAAGGGUUCGUAGGUGGCCAACUAAGUCAGACGUGAAAUCCCUCAGCUUAACUGGGGAACUGCGUCUGAUACUGGAUGGCUUGAGUGCAGGAGAGGAACGCGGAAUUCCAGGUGUAGCGGUGAAAUGCGUAGAUAUCUGGAGGAACACCGGUGGCGAAGGCGGCGUUCUGGACUGCAACUGACGCUGAGGAGCGAAAGCGUGGGGAGCGAACAGG
This 253-nucleotide ribosomal RNA is filed under the name uncultured bacterium. RNAcentral's name for it is "partial 16S ribosomal RNA". It matches the Rfam family "Bacterial small subunit ribosomal RNA", at positions 524 to 776 of the family's 1533-position model. The record is from RNAcentral.